CUGGUUGAUCCUGCCAGUAGUCAUAUGCUUGUCUCAAAGAUUAAGCCAUGCAUGUCUAAGUACAUGCCGUAUUAAGGCGAAACCGCGAAUGGCUCAUUAAAUCAGUUAUGGUUCCUUGGAUCGUACCUUACUACUUGGAUAACUGUGGCAAUUCUAGAGCUAAUACAUGCAGCAGAGCUCCGACCCUCUGGGGACGAGCGCUUUUAUUAGACCAAAACCAAUCGGACCUCGUGUCCGUAUUAUGUGGUGACUCUGUAUAACUUUGGGCUGAUCGCACGGGCUCGUCCCGGCGACGUAUCUUUCAAGUGUCUGCCUUAUCAACUGUCGAUGGUAGGUUACGCGCCUACCAUGGUCGUAACGGGUGACGGGGAAUCAGGGUUCGAUUCCGGAGAGGGAGCCUGAGAAACGGCUACCACAUCCAAGGAAGGCAGCAGGCGCGCAAAUUACCCACUCCCAGAACGGGGAGGUAGUGACGAAAAAUAACAAUACGGGACUCUUUUGAGACCCCGUAAUUGAAAUGAGUACACUCUAAAUCCUUUAACGAGGAUCAAUUGGAGGACAAGUCUGGUGCCAGCAGCGGCGGUAAUUCCAGCUCCAAUAGCGUAUAUG
Molecule: non-coding RNA, 609 nt
Filed under: Stegodyphus mimosarum
Lineage: Eukaryota; Metazoa; Arthropoda; Arachnida; Araneae; Eresidae
Description: eukaryotic small subunit ribosomal RNA
Rfam family: Eukaryotic small subunit ribosomal RNA
Source: Rfam by way of RNAcentral